Molecule: ribosomal RNA, 747 nt
Filed under: uncultured bacterium
Lineage: Bacteria
Description: bacterial SSU rRNA
Rfam family: Bacterial small subunit ribosomal RNA
Source: RNAcentral
AACGAACGCUGGCGGCGCGCCUAAUACAUGCAAGUCGAGCGAGAAAGUGUAGCAAUACACUUGUAAAGCGGCGAACGGGUGAGGAAUACAUGGGUAAUCUACCAUCGAGUGGGGAAUAACCAACCGAAAGGUUGGCUAAUACCGCGUACGCCUCCGAGUCUUCGGGUUCGGAGGGAAAGCUGCACUGUGAGUGUAGCGCUCUUUGAUGAGCUCAUGUCCUAUCAGCUUGUUGGUAGGGUAAUGGCCUACCAAGGCUUUGACGGGUAGCUGGUCUGAGAGGACGAUCAGCCACACUGGCACUGCGACACGGGCCAGACUCCUACGGGAGGCAGCAGUAAGGAAUAUUGCGCAAUGGGCGAAAGCGCGACGCAGCGACGCCGCGUGGGGGAUGAAGGUCUUCGGAUUGUAAACCCCUUUCGGGAGGGAAGAUGGAGCGAGCAAUCGUUCGGACGGUACCUCCAGAAGCAGCCACGGCCAACUUCGUGCCAGCAGCCGCGGUAAUACGAAGGUGGCAAGCGUUGUUCGGAUUCACUGGGCGUACAGGGUGUGUAGGCGGUUUGGUAAGCCUUCUGUUAAAGCUUCGGGCCCAACCCGGAAAGCGCAGAGGGUACUGCCAGGCUAGAGGGUGGGAGAGGAGCGCGGAAUUCCCGGUGUAGCGGUGAAAUGCGUAGAGAUCGGGAGGGAAGGCCGGUGGCGAAGCGGCGCUCUGGAACAUACCUGACGCUGAGACACGAAAGCGUGGGGAGC